UUCACAUCAACUCUUCCUCUUUUCAAGUGCUUUUACUCUAAAACCCAAAACCUCGUAAACAAACAAAACCCCACCAUGGCGGUCGGACUAUUGGCCGCCAUAGUCCCGAAGCCCUUCUGUCUCCUCACAACAAAACUUCAACCCUCUUCGCUCCUCACAACAAAACCCGCUCCCCUUUUUGCCCCUCUCGGUACCCGCCACGGCUUCUUUAAUGGCAAAAACCGAAGAAAAAUCAACUCUUUCACCGUAUGUUUUGUUUUAGAGGAGAAAAAACAAAGCACCCAGAUCGAGACUUUCACGGAGGAGGAGGAGGAGGAGUCGGGUACCCAGAUCUCGACUGCUGCCCGCGUGGCCGAGAAAUUGGCGAGAAAGAGAUCCGAGAGGUUCACUUAUCUCGUUGCUGCCGUCAUGUCUAGUUUUGGUAUCACUUCCAUGGCUGUCAUGGCUGUUUAUUACAGGUUCUGGUGGCAAAUGGAGGUACUUCAAACAAAUCACACAUGUCCUAAUGUUAUUGGUUGGUUGUAUGAACAGAAAAUUUCGCCCCUCUUUUGAUGAUGCUUACAUG
This 565-nucleotide long non-coding RNA is filed under the name Citrus sinensis (sweet orange). RNAcentral describes it as "long non-coding RNA (CSIN_LNC004031)". The record is from RNAcentral. Lineage: Eukaryota; Viridiplantae; Streptophyta; Magnoliopsida; Sapindales; Rutaceae.